UCAGAGAUAUGAGAUCUCCAAGAUCCCCAACCCCCAAAAGUACUACUAUAAUCUGGAAUGAAGCAGAGCUAAGAUCAUCCAUCAAUCUCAUAGUUGAUAAUGUCCGAAACGGAUUGAAGACAAACUCAAUAUUCACAAAGGUUGGUUGGGACAACAUUACAAAAGGGCUUGAAGCCGAAUUCAAAAGGUCCUUUGCAAAAGUACAACUGCGUAACAAGAUGAAUAAGUUAUGUAAGGAGUACAACAGCUUCAGGGCUUUGCUAGAAACAACUAGUUUCGGAUGGGAUGCGAAUGCUCGGACUACCACAGUUGAUGAUUCAGUAUAGGAAUCUGCUAUUCAGGGACACAAGGAUUGGGCAAAGUAUAGAAGAAAUGGUCUCCCCUUGUGGCCAGAGUUGUUAGAGAUCUUCUCCAACUCUAGUGCCUGUGGGGAUAGAGGUUUGUCACAGGCAACAGUUGUAACUCCAACGUCAACUAACCUUGAAAUUGAUGAUGAUUUACAUGACACUGAUAAUGAUGACAUUGAUGCUUGUACUGGGACACCCAAGGGGUCAGCUCCUCCAAAGCGGCGACUUGAUAGGACUCCUACGAAUCGUAGGAGGAAGAGCCACACAUGGACACUCACGAACUCCACUGAGGAUUUCAGAACCUUUGUCUGAUGGAGGAUGGAAAAGGGAUCAACCUCUGCCACCUCAGCAGUUACCCGACCACCUGACCCUAUUGUGACGGACCAUAUAGCAUGAUGAGCUGUUAGAAGCUACUGGACAGUUUGGAGGAUAUCCUGACGGAUUUGUAUAUGUUGGCGCAGCGUAAGAUACACAGUGACCCUGGAUGGCGCAUGUCUUUUAUUGAAGUGAGACUUGACAGGAGGUUAUGGAUGCUACAUGGUCUGAAGGAGUGAAAGUAACAGUUUCUGAUAUGAAUGAACAUAAAUCUUUUGUUUGGAUUUUAUAUGCCUCAUACUGACUGACACACUUAUGUCUUUUAGCAUACUAUGGAUGAUGUUGAUGUUUGAAUUAUGUUGCUUUGUUUUA
This is a long non-coding RNA of Macadamia integrifolia, 1034 nucleotides long. RefSeq lists it as uncharacterized. The transcript has 2 exons. Lineage: Eukaryota; Viridiplantae; Streptophyta; Magnoliopsida; Proteales; Proteaceae. The record is from RefSeq and is a predicted model, not a curated record.